GACGAACCGUGCGAACGUUGUUCGGAUUCACUGGGCUUAAAGGGCGCGUAGGCGGCUCGCCAAGUCAGGGGUGAAAUCUUUCGGCUCAACCGGAAAACAGCUUCUGAUACUGGCGGGCUGGAGGGAGGUAGGGGCAGAUGGAACUUCCGGUGGAGCGGUGAAAUGCGUAGAUAUCGGAAGGAACACCGGUGGCGAAGGCGGCAUCCUGGACCACGACUGACGCUGAGGAGCGAAAGCCAGGGGAGCAAACGGG
This 253-nucleotide ribosomal RNA is filed under the name uncultured bacterium. RNAcentral describes it as "partial 16S ribosomal RNA". It matches the Rfam family "Bacterial small subunit ribosomal RNA", at positions 524 to 776 of the family's 1533-position model. The record is from RNAcentral.